RNAcentral lists this ribosomal RNA (399 nucleotides) under Triticum aestivum (bread wheat). Its description in RNAcentral is "partial small subunit ribosomal RNA". Lineage: Eukaryota; Viridiplantae; Streptophyta; Magnoliopsida; Poales; Poaceae. The record is from RNAcentral.
AUGCGUCAAAUAGGAUAUUCCAAAGAAAACCUCGAAAGAAAAAGUGACCACACCACCAGACCCUGGUCACCAUGGCUAUGUUCGACGGCGGCCACGACCAACUCGCCGGCGUGGUGGUGGCCACCUCCCGCCGUCGGAUCCGCCACAAGGCGUACCGAGGUGAGGUCGCGCCGCGCCACCAGGCGGCGUAACGUGACGACCCGAGGGAGGCCGGGUUCAGGGUCGCGCCCACUGUGCUGGCGCGGCGGAGGCGCUGCCACCCCGUCGCCGUCGGCUCCUGCGCCCAGGGCCAUGGGAGCUCGAGUAAGCGCUUGCUCAGUUCCAUUUUCUGCCUGGUGUACAUUUGAUUUCGACGGCGUGCAUCAGCCAUACGGGAAAAAAAUGUACUGCAUCCAUUGA